CUAAUGUCAAGGUCCACAGGAGAGUGCCGUUGACUGUCUGUUCCCUGGCUAGCUUCUUCCCUGGUCCUGCCUUGAUCUUGAAUUACCCACCAAGUGCCGCUGGCUGCAGCAUCCUGGAGUUUCUGGCUGUUGACUCCAUAAAGACCUUGCACUUUGCCCAUUGUCCUGCAGAGCUGGGCAGGUCCACAGCCUAGGCCUGAGAGUUUGCUGCUGUUUCUGGCUGAUGUAGGCCUGGGUGAUUCUCUGCCCCACCCUAACUCUCCCAUAUUGGUGCUGACAGCUCACAGGGCCCCGACUCAGCAGAGUGGGCAUUGUCCUAAAGGAAGUGACACUCCAGAUUCCAGCGGACAGUAACGUUGAUUGCAAGAACAUGCUGGGGAGCUGGGGAGCGAGCCACACAGCUCUUCUGCGCUUCCAGAACACUGCUGUUUGACCAGUGACGCAGGAGAGAAUGCAGAACGCAACCACCAGGAGUUCAGCCUGAGCAAGGCCCUUCAAGGCAGAUACAGACAUGCCUCACUCGGAGGCUUCUUCAAGACCUGAAUUGCUUGUCGAGUUAUAGGAGUGUGGUUGGCAACAGACUUCAGCUCUUGGCUUCCUUAGGGUCCUCCUCACCUUUCAAGCCAGAAGCCAGGGACUGUCUUGAUCAGUCUUCUGUCGCUAUAACUUAACUCUACAGGCUGGGUAACGUAUAAAGAUUAAAGGUUUGCUCAACUAGUGCUUCUGGGGGGCCAGGUCAAGGAGCCACAGCCUAUGAGAACCUCCUGGUGAGGUGGGUCCAGGCAACAGGAGGCAACAGAGGUGCAUUCAAGUCAUGGAGCUAAACUGCAGCAGCCCCACUCUGGUGAUGAACCCAGAAUCCAAACCUCAUAAUCUAAUCAUUCCUUAAGGCUCCACCCCCCACUUAAGCUUCGGAAUGUGAACCUGGACCUGGGUGGGGCGGUCAAGCUGUAACAGUCACACGCUGCUUGGGCACAUCCACGGUGACUGAACAGGACAAAGUGCAAAGUCCAGCCAUCCUCUCCUACCACAGGACAUGAUAACAUCACUUGUGUGAGCAGAACACCUCAGAUAGAAACCUGUCAGGUCUGCUGCGGCUCAUGAUGGCAGUCGGCCUGGACAGGUGGCCUUCAGAGGCUGCACUUGCCAAUCUGUUUCCUUCUCUUAAGUCUCCUCCCUGGAAAACAUUCCUAGCCUCUUUGCAGCUCCUCACGUUGGGAACCUGCCCUUUCCUGAGGGGGCUGUCAGAGACCCUCUGAAGACUGACAUCCUUUGGAAAAGUCUCCUCACAGGCCCGGCAGCUCACACCUGGAACACGGCAGCACCCAAGUGGCUGAUGAGAGACCGACCAUUCCUGCAAGUUUAAGGCCUGCUUGGACUGCAUAGCAAGUUCCAAGGCCACCCUUGGCUACAAACUCUGUUUCAAAUGCCUACAGAAAAGAAGGAAGAAAGGAAGA
Molecule: long non-coding RNA, 1457 nt
Organism: Mus musculus (house mouse)
Lineage: Eukaryota; Metazoa; Chordata; Mammalia; Rodentia; Muridae
Product: predicted gene, 34472
Exons: 3
Source: RefSeq, a predicted model, not a curated record